AAAGAAACUAACUAGGAUUCCCUUAGUAACGGCGAGUGAACCGGGAUGAGCUCAAAUUUAAAAUCUGGCGUCUUUCAGGCGUCCGAGUUGUAAUCUAUAGAGGCGUUUUCCGCGCCGGACCGCGUCCAAGUCCCUUGGAAUAGGGUAUCAAAGAGGGUGACAAUCCCGUACUUGACGCGACGACCGGUGCUCUGUGAUACGUUCUCAACGAGUCGAGUUGUUUGGGAAUGCAGCUCUAAAUGGGUGGUAAAUUCCAUCUAAGGCUAAAUAUUGGCGAGAGACCGAUAGCGAACAAGUACCGUGAGGGAAAGAUGAAAAGCACUUUGGAAAGAGAGUUAAACAGCACGUGAAAUUGUUAAAAGGGAAACGAUUGAAGUCAGUCGUGUGGGAGGUAUUCAGCCGUCUCUGGCGGUGUAUUUGCCUCUCACGGGUCAACAUCAGUUUGAUCCGGUAGAAAAAGGCGGGAGGAAGGUGGCACCCUCGGGUGUGUUAUAGCCUCCUGUCACAUGUGCCGGACCAGA
RNAcentral lists this ribosomal RNA (521 nucleotides) under Vishniacozyma heimaeyensis. Its description in RNAcentral is "partial large subunit ribosomal RNA". It matches the Rfam family "Eukaryotic large subunit ribosomal RNA", at positions 58 to 585 of the family's 3401-position model. The record is from RNAcentral. Lineage: Eukaryota; Fungi; Basidiomycota; Tremellomycetes; Tremellales; Bulleribasidiaceae.